This is a small nucleolar RNA of Jaculus jaculus (lesser Egyptian jerboa), 140 nucleotides long. Its record names the gene SNORA70. It matches the Rfam family "Small nucleolar RNA SNORA70". From Rfam's summary of the family: snoRNA U70 seems to be exclusive to mammals and is a member of the H/ACA class of snoRNA which contain H (ANANNA) and ACA box motifs. H/ACA box snoRNAs are involved in the conversion of uridines to pseudouridines (5-ribosyluracil) a constituent of structural RNAs (transfer, ribosomal, small nuclear, and small nucleolar). NCBI's taxonomy places the organism in Eukaryota, Metazoa, Chordata, Mammalia, Rodentia, Dipodidae. The record is from Ensembl.
CUGCAUCCAAGUAGCUAGCUGACCAGGUUCCUUUCCUCGUGGUGGCCCAGUGUGCAAUGGCUGUAAACAGCAGCCUCCUUCAUGUAGUGUAUGUAAACUGUUGAUUAUACAGGUUGUCCUAACGGACCUUGGGGACAGUU